UAGGGAAUCUUCCNCAAUGGGCGCAAGCCUGAUGGAGCAACACCGCGUGAGUGAAGAAGGGUUUCGGCUCGUAAAGCUCUGUUGUUAAAGAAGAACACGUAUGAGAGUAACUGUUCAUACGUUGACGGUAUUUAACCAGAAAGUCACGGCUAACUACGUGCCAG
Molecule: ribosomal RNA, 164 nt
Filed under: uncultured bacterium
Lineage: Bacteria
Description: partial 16S ribosomal RNA
Rfam family: Bacterial small subunit ribosomal RNA
Source: RNAcentral